Long non-coding RNA from Cyprinus carpio carpio, 773 nucleotides. The record is from Ensembl. NCBI's taxonomy places the organism in Eukaryota, Metazoa, Chordata, Actinopteri, Cypriniformes, Cyprinidae.
AGAAGCUCCCCUGACAGAUGAGCUGCCUGGGAUUCUCACUAUAGCUGUCUUACAGACACGAGUCAAAAAACUGCUAUGAUGUGUUUAUUUACCACUAGCAAGUGGCUAGCAAGUUAGCAAGGGAGAUUUGAGCUCUGUUCCAAAACCUGCAGCAUCCUAACUUAAAAGGAACCUUGAAAGUGAUUGAUUUGGAACACAAAUAACACUCUGCAUGUGAAGCACAUAGAAGAUUCGACUUGCUAUACAGGCAAUGCAAGGACAACAAUGUGAUACUAUGAGAAGAUGUGGAACACCAUAAGGAAAUGCUGCAAGCAGGAUUAAAACCUGUGCUGCCUACACAAGGACUUUAAGACUGUGUUUGCUGGUGUUGGAUGCCUCGGUCCUCCUUGAGUCUUCAUCUGUUAUGGGCUGGUUAAUGAAAUCUGUGUCCCCCACCCCCAUCAAAAUUUCACAACAUAUGUGAUACUGUAGCCACUCACAGCAUUGGCACAUCCUAAUGUGUUGCUUACAGAAAUAGUGGCAUUAGGCUCAACAAUCUGGUAACAAAACCUCAUUCAAUGCAAAGAUAAUAGCAAUCCACACACAAAGGAAAGGAACUGCAGGACUCCCAUUUGAUUUUAUUAGAAGGCAAAAUGAGAGUCUUGAUCUCAGAGGACAUCCAGUAACGCCUUUGGCAAAUUGACAAGCAUUAUGUGGUUUGAUUUGUUUCUAAUACAGACAGCUGACCAGUAUCUCUCAGAUACUCAUGUGCUCAUGAUAUUGAAAGACAGAGG